CUACGGGUCGCACCAGUGGGGAAUAUUGCACAAUGGACGAAAGUCUGAUGCAGCAACGCCGCGUGGAGGAUGACACAUUUCGGUGCGUAAACUCCUUUUAUAUAGGAAGAUAAUGACGGUACUAUAUGAAUAAGCACCGGCUAACUCCGUGCCAGCAGCCGCGGUAAUACGGAGGGUGCAAGCGUUACUCGGAAUCACUGGGCGUAAAGAGCGUGUAGGCGGGUUAAUAAGUUGGAAGUGAAAUCCUAUGGCUCAACCAUAGAACUGCUUCCAAAACUGUUAACCUAGAAUAUGGGAGAGGUAGAUGGAAUUUCUGGUGUAGGGGUAAAAUCCGUAGAGAUCAGAAGGAAUACCGAUUGCGAAGGCGAUCUACUGGAACAUUAUUGACGCUGAGACGCGAAAGCGUGGGGAGCAAACAGGAUUAGAUACCCGUGUAGUC
This 439-nucleotide ribosomal RNA is filed under the name uncultured bacterium. RNAcentral's name for it is "partial 16S ribosomal RNA". It matches the Rfam family "Bacterial small subunit ribosomal RNA", at positions 339 to 795 of the family's 1533-position model. The record is from RNAcentral.